This 618-nucleotide ribosomal RNA is filed under the name Pseudomonas juntendi. RNAcentral describes it as "partial 23S ribosomal RNA". It matches the Rfam family "Bacterial large subunit ribosomal RNA", at positions 1085 to 1703 of the family's 2925-position model. Lineage: Bacteria; Pseudomonadati; Pseudomonadota; Gammaproteobacteria; Pseudomonadales; Pseudomonadaceae. The record is from RNAcentral.
UUAGACAGCUAGGAGGUUGGCUUAGAAGCAGCCACCCUUUAAAGAAAGCGUAAUAGCUCACUAGUCGAGUCGGCCUGCGCGGAAGAUGUAACGGGGCUCAAACCAUGCACCGAAGCUACGGGUAUCACCUUUUGGUGAUGCGGUAGAGGAGCGUUCUGUAAGCCUGUGAAGGUGAGUUGAGAAGCUUGCUGGAGGUAUCAGAAGUGCGAAUGCUGACAUGAGUAACGACAAUGCGAGUGAAAAACUCGCACGCCGAAAGACCAAGGUUUCCUGCGCAACGUUAAUCGACGCAGGGUUAGUCGGUCCCUAAGGCGAGGCUGAAAAGCGUAGUCGAUGGAAAACAGGUUAAUAUUCCUGUACUUCCAGUUAUUGCGAUGGAGGGACGGAGAAGGUUAGGCCAGCCUGGCGUUGGUUGUCCAGGUUUAAGGUGGUAGGCUGGAAUCUUAGGCAAAUCCGGGAUUUCAAGGCCGAGAGCUGAUGACGAGUUGCCUUUAGGCGACGAAGUGGUUGAUACCAUGCUUCCAAGAAAAGCUCCUAAGCUUCAGAUAACUGGGAACCGUACCCCAAACCGACACAGGUGGUUAGGUAGAGAAUACCAAGGCGCUUGAGAGAACUCGG